GGUUCCAUAGUGUAGCGGUUAGGUUAGCACGUCUGCUUUACACACAGAAGGUUCUGGGUUCGUGCCUCAGUGGAGCCA
RNAcentral lists this transfer RNA (78 nucleotides) under Pteropus alecto (black flying fox). It matches the Rfam family "tRNA". From Rfam's summary of the family: Transfer RNA (tRNA) molecules are approximately 80 nucleotides in length. Their secondary structure includes four short double-helical elements and three loops (D, anti-codon, and T loops). Further hydrogen bonds mediate the characteristic L-shaped molecular structure. tRNAs have two regions of fundamental functional importance: the anti-codon, which is responsible for specific mRNA codon recognition, and the 3' end, to which the tRNAs corresponding amino acid is attached (by aminoacyl-tRNA synthetases). tRNAs cope with the degeneracy of the genetic code in two manners: having more than one tRNA (with a specific anti-codon) for a particular amino acid; and 'wobble' base-pairing, i.e. permitting non-standard base-pairing at the 3rd anti-codon position. The record is from Rfam by way of RNAcentral. Lineage: Eukaryota; Metazoa; Chordata; Mammalia; Chiroptera; Pteropodidae. RNAcentral also lists the same sequence under 1 other name.